UACGGGGGGAGCAAGCGUUGUUCGGAUUUACUGGGCGUAAAGGGCGCGUAGGCGGCCACCGCAAGUCGACUGUGAAAUCUCCGGGCUUAACCCGGAAAGGUCAGCCGAUACUGCGGGGCUAGAGUGCAGAAGGGGCAACUGGAAUUCUCGGUGUAGCGGUGAAAUGCGUAGAUAUCGAGAGGAACACCUGCGGCGAAGGCGGGUUGCUGGGCUGACACUGACGUUGAGGCGCGAAAGCUAGGGGAGCGAACGGG
RNAcentral lists this ribosomal RNA (254 nucleotides) under uncultured bacterium. Its description in RNAcentral is "partial 16S ribosomal RNA". It matches the Rfam family "Bacterial small subunit ribosomal RNA", at positions 524 to 776 of the family's 1533-position model. The record is from RNAcentral.